AAGAUCAUACUUCACAGGAUCAUUUCUGUAGUAUAUCUUCGCAUACUCUCUACUCAAACGUUGAGUUGUCGCACCCACGAUGACGAGUUAAAGUUUUUUGUCCUGAGCGUGAGGCACUCUUUCAUUGAUCCAAUUCUCGGAUCUUUGAAGUCAUCGAUGAUCGUUCAACUGCGAAUUUAUUUCACAGAAAUGGGCAAAAAACAAUCUGAGUGGU
Aethina tumida (small hive beetle) is the source of this 214-nucleotide small nucleolar RNA. RefSeq annotates it as small nucleolar RNA U3. The record is from RefSeq and is a predicted model, not a curated record. NCBI's taxonomy places the organism in Eukaryota, Metazoa, Arthropoda, Insecta, Coleoptera, Nitidulidae. The transcript has a single exon.